RNAcentral lists this ribosomal RNA (484 nucleotides) under uncultured bacterium. Its description in RNAcentral is "partial 16S ribosomal RNA". It matches the Rfam family "Bacterial small subunit ribosomal RNA", at positions 30 to 507 of the family's 1533-position model. The record is from RNAcentral.
AUUGAACGCUGGCGGCAGGCCUAACACAUGCAAGUCGAGCGGAUGAAGGGAGCUUGCUCCUGGAUUCAGCGGCGGACGGGUGAGUAAUGCCUAGGAACCUGCCUGGUAGUGGGGGAUAACGUCCGGAAACGGGCGCUAAUACCGCAUACGUCCUGAGGGAGAAAGUGGGGGAUCUUCGGAUCUCACGCUAUCAGAUGAGCCUAGGUCGGAUUAGCUAGUUGGCGGGGUAAAGGCCUACCAAGGCGACGAUCCGUAACUGGUCUGAGAGGAUGAUCAGUCACACUGGAACUGAGACACGGUCCAGACUCCUACGGGAGGCAGCAGUGGGGAAUAUUGGACAAAGGGCGAAAGCCUGAUCCAGCCAUGCCGCGUGUGUGAAGAAGGUCUUCGGAUUGUAAAGCACUUUAAUUUGGAAAGAAGAGCAGUAAGUUAAUACCUUGCUGUUUUGACGUUACCAACAGAAUAAGCACCGGCUAACUUCGUG